Long non-coding RNA from Cynoglossus semilaevis (tongue sole), 4366 nucleotides. RefSeq lists it as uncharacterized. NCBI's taxonomy places the organism in Eukaryota, Metazoa, Chordata, Actinopteri, Pleuronectiformes, Cynoglossidae. The transcript is spliced from 4 exons. The record is from RefSeq and is a predicted model, not a curated record.
GGCAAUUUGCAAUUCUACACGGUGUGUAGAUUUGUAUGGUGACAGUAAAUGCAUCAUCUUAUAUCGGUGUUAUGUCAACAUUUUUAUUUACAGUAUUAACUGUAGCAGAGACAGUGAAGACAUCUUAUCAUAUCUGUGUUAUCUAUAUUAUGUUGCUUAAGGAUAAUGGGAAGAUAAUGGAAAACGUUCAGCAUUGGUGACCAAUGAAUAUUUUAUUAAUGUACUGAAGAGACACAUCCAUAUUCACACCAAGCUAUCUUCAGUAUAGUGUGGUUGAUGUCCAGGGCUUUUUAUGACUCAUUUGUUAACAUUCAGCCUGUGAUCGUACACAGAGUGGGCGAAGAGUUAUUUGUAGUUGUGUAAAACUCAUCCACACCCAAGAAAACCUGAAAUAUGUCUUUGAGUCACUGCACAAGUUACACAACAGCUAACGCCAGUGAGCCAGUAGUUCUGUUGUGUAACAUUUCAUGUCCAGGUUAAAAAGACUAUGUUACAAGUGUCAAAAGUGACAAGCGUCACCAGUUACACCUGUGUAUAAAUAACUGAUCAAACUUUUUCUGUUGCUCUCUAUUCAGUUGCACCAAGUAGAUCUGAUGGGCAUCACAAUCAAGUCACUGGCUGAGAUUGAAAAGGAGUAUGAUUACAGUUUCCGUACAGAGCACAGUGCGGCGGCCCGCCUGCCCCCCAGUCCGACACGGACCGCCCAAAGCUCAGACGCAUGAGGAGACCUAUCGACGACCCCGCUCCCUUUCACACUCCACUCUACAAACUAGUGGGAGAGACUCAAACACUACUGAACUGCCUACAGUGAACUACGAGCCCUCCCCAUCUCUGCCUCCCUGCAACUGUGGUGCCCCCCCCCAAAAAACAAAUUAACAAGAAGAACAUCAGAACUUCUUUCUGUCUGCAUUAAGUGUUUUAAUAGAAACAGACUGAGAAAGAGACUAGCAGAAAUGAAAUGAGAGCGGACGACUUUAAAAUAACAUUGAACCUUUUUUUCCUUCUUCAUGGAUAAGUAAAAAUAAACUUUGCACCACAGCCCCUGUGAAGGACUUGUGAACAACAAGAUCAAGGGACCUGCUGUUGUGAAGGAUGGCAUCCAUCAGACUUCUGCUGUCAGGAAUGGACACACCCUGAGGGCAGAAGAAACUUUCUUUACACCCACACACACACACCUAUUCCUACAGCGCUGCUGUGAACUAGGCACCUCCCACUUCACAUCACUUCAAGAUUUUCUUCAAGCUCAUACUGACUGGCCUCAUGGGCAACAGUCUCACUGUUCUCUUUACGUUACUGUGAUAUGCUUAAGUGUAAAAAGAAAAAGUGUGUGCACUUUUUAUUUGGACGUGUCCAUGUGCUUCCAGUUACCAGAUAUUAUUCUGCAAACCACUCCCUCACUGUUGGCAGCUGAGCUGAUAUAAAACCACUUGUUUUAAAGUUAAGGGGACAGGUUUUUGUUGUUGUUGUUGUUGUUGUUUUUUAUCUUUAUACACAGACAAGACACCAGAGCCAGUUUCAGACAUGGAGGCCAGUCUUGUGAACCACAUGGCUGCCAGCUAGAAAAGACAAAAACGGGACAAAAGUCCAAGGUGGACAUCUAAAACACAAGAGUUGAUCUGCAGCAACCUCUGCCCGUGAAUUCAAAUGUGGUACUUGUGAGUUCUCUGUUUGCAGUUCCAAAGGGAGGAGGCGAUGGUCUAGUGUUAGGGUUAAAUAAAAUCUACUUAUCCAACCCCAGGGUUAAGCCUAAGUUAAAAUAUUGGCUAACAUUACAUGCCGUUGUUAAUUAAGUUUUGUUUCAUGGGUUUAAGCAAAUGUAAAGGUUAUUGACUCUUUAGCUAAUUACAUCUUCAACUGUUUCCUGCUGCCUUGUGUUUCCCUAGGUGUAACAUUACAGUUAAUAAUGUGGCUUUGGUGUGUGGUCAAAAACUCUGCAAACUGAAGCUGGUGGGGAUUUUAAUAACGGUAACUAUGUUUAGGGUGAGCCAGGGUGAGCGCCUGAGCUGGUUUUUAGCUGAACUGUAACACGUCCAGUCACACUUCUGGUGUUUUUAUGGUCUUUGUUGGUUCAUAGGAAAAUACUCUUGUCUUCUAUCCCCAGUACAUACGUACAAGUAUUUCUGCAAUAUUUUAAAGGCAUCAAUGCAUGGAUUAACACCUUUUACCUAAUAUUUUUUGAUUAAUGUAUUAGUCAUCGCAGUAUUGUGACAAUGUCUCAAAGGCUUUGUUGUUUUUCACCAGUGUAACCUAUAUAGUUGUUUGGAGUGUAAAGUAAAAAUGCUUAUUUGCAAUUUGUUUGUGUGUACAACUGUGUGUUUGAGCUGACCGCAUCAGAUUCUUUUCUUUUUUUUUUUAGCUCCACAUGUGUCUUAACAGGUUGUAUCUAACUAUCAUUGUCUGCACUGACGUAGAAUUGAACACUUCUGCUUUCACCGCUCAUAGUUAGCAUGCUAGAGGUGACGGGGUGUUUAGGACUGUUAUUAUUUUGUUUAUGUUGUUGAUCAAAAGUCAAAAGUUUUCCUCAAGAAUGGAUCAUUUUCACUGAAGAACGAACAAACAAGCAUCUGUUAACUUUAUAUCUUUAAGACACUUUAUUAAACUGCAUUGAAACCUAAAUGGAAUCUUUAAUUUAAUAUUUUGGUCAAAGCAGUGUUAAAGUAUGAGAGCCUUAGCUUUUUUUUUUUCCAAGUCAGUUAAACUACUGACUUAAACUUGACUCAAAUGUCUUCUGUGACAAGACAUGAAAACCUGGGAGUUAAGACUCGGACACUGUGACUCUAACUGAAACGGUAACAGCUCAAUUCAGACUUCACUCUAUUUUCUUCAGUGACUUGGACACUAGACUGCAUGACACAAUACAGCAGUAAACAAAGAUUAAGUAAUACUAGAGCAAAACACUUUCUUAUUUUUAAAUGACCAAUCUAAUCGUUUUAAUGGAUGAAAAAAAAAUAAAACAACUGAAAACAAUUCAAGCCAAAAGAGUCAAGCCAAGCUCCCGGGCCACCCCUGGUUUAUAAAGCUUGUUUCUGGUGUGUGACAAAAACUUCUAAGACAGAGUGAGUCCCACAGCACCCUCUGCCCUGGAACAGUGCAUCAUAUCCAGCCUAUGCACUUCCACAUUGGUAUAAUGCUACCUUCCAGCUCAUCAUACAUUAAUGGUAACGCAACAUCAAGGAGUAUCAGUAUUGAUAAUUGUUAUCGGCGGGACGACCCUAAUAGUAAUGUUUCGAUGUAGCGUAUGUUAUUUGUAGUGACUAACGCUUGAGGAGUUUAUUAUUUCACUUAUUGCAGUACCUUUGAUGUAUUUGAUGUUUCGUGUCUGUCAAUCCUACAGUCCACAUCUAACCUGCACCAACAGAAGGAGACGAUGGCCAGGGCCUGCAGUUUAACAAGGUCCUCAGCGCUAGUUUACAGCGUAGUCUGGAGACCCUGAUGCCGGGAUCCGCUAAUGUGGAACAUGCAGUUUCAUUACCCAGAGUUGUUUGUGUUUUAUACCACAACUGUUGCCAAAUUUUUCACGACCUCUGUCAAUGCUCAGACACAUCACAGGGAUUGGUAUAAAAAUGUGUUCACACAUACGUCAGCUGUUGAGAGUUUCCUACGAAAAGCAAAACCAAAACAAAGUGUUUUCACAGUGUUUUGGUUGUUUUAAUAAAAAGUCCACAGUAAAAUUAAAAGUAAUUAGAGAUAGACUGUGUGUGGCACGUCUCCUCAAAGAGUCCAUCGUGCUCUUUCAUCUGCAUGUGUACAUGUGUUGGUAUGAUGUUUACAGAGAGUGAACGCCUACAUCAAACAAGCUGUUGGCCUCCAUGUUCCAAAGACAACAACUUACUCCACGUCGUUACUGCUUUGCUGCUUCCUUUGAAUUUUCAUACAGUUAUAGACAAUUGUACUAAAUAAAUAACCUAAAAUUUUACCAGGACACGUGUCUCAUUAGCAAACUAAUAAUAUGCUUACAUUACAUGAAUAAAUCAUAAUUAUGUUCAUUAACUGCUCCAUUCUUGUUUGUUGUAGAUGACACAAAGAAAAAUUCAGAUGGGUUAAAUUCAUUCAUGGCAAUACAUAAAGAAUGAGGUCCAUCAAACCAGAGGCUCUAUCGUUAGCUAGCGAAAAAGUCUGGACCGUUGAGACUUUAGCGAGUAAAUACUCUGGCAAACUUCAUAGCGGGGAGAAACCACCGACUGAGAGAACUGCCCCGCUUACAGAGAUUCAGGAAAGAAAACAAUGACCAUAGAGUGACAAUGAAAAUGGAGAAGACUUUCUUGUACAGAAGGCAAGAAGUAAUUCAAGGACAUCCAUUGAUAGCAGACUUGCAAAGCAGAUGGACUCUGUUCACUCAGUGCAGAUCGACAAGGAAUUCCUGCAC